RNAcentral lists this ribosomal RNA (236 nucleotides) under uncultured bacterium. RNAcentral's name for it is "partial 16S ribosomal RNA". It matches the Rfam family "Bacterial small subunit ribosomal RNA", at positions 15 to 233 of the family's 1533-position model. The record is from RNAcentral.
GAUCAUGGCUCAGGAUGAACGCUGGCGGCGUGCUUAACACAUGCAAGUCGAACGAAGCACCUUGAUUUGAUUCUUCGGAUGAAGAUCUUGGUGACUUAGUGGCGGACGGGUGAGUAACGCGUGGGUAACCUGCCUCACACAGGGGGAUAACAGUUAGAAAUGACUGCUAAUACCGCAUAACCCGAUAGGAUCGCAUGAUCCAGACGGAAAAGAUUUAUCGGUGUGAGAUGGACCCG